UAUCAUUUUUACGAUAUCGUAAUUUUUUGUUCUAUUCAUUGUUUUUUUUUUACAUUUUUUUUUUUACAUUUUUUAUUGAUUCUCUAUUAUGUAUACCCCAAUUAAACCCUCUUAUAUAAUAAAAAGGAAGGGAAGUAUUCUUUAGGAAGUAAUAUGAACUGAAAAGGUUAGAUACUAGAAUGGACGUAAUUUAGAAUGUCGUAUAUUUUAUAAAUAGUCCCAAUAAAGCAGGAUUUUCCAACUAAAUAAUGCCUUAAGAUGUUUAUUAGCCCGUUCCAAAAUAAAUAUGCUACUACGGGGGUGUUUAACGACCUUGGCUAGUCACGCACGGUCGGUAAAGAAAUAUGAGAAAAAGUACGGUAUUACAAUGACGUACUGAGAAUUUCAACACAUGAAAGAAAUACAGCUUUUUAUGUUAUUUAAGCUCAAUUGUAUUUUACUGCCAUAUAUAUGUGUGUUCAGUUUAUUCGCAC
RNAcentral lists this long non-coding RNA (473 nucleotides) under Mytilus galloprovincialis (Mediterranean mussel). Lineage: Eukaryota; Metazoa; Mollusca; Bivalvia; Mytilida; Mytilidae. The record is from RNAcentral.